Long non-coding RNA from Podarcis raffonei (Aeolian wall lizard), 507 nucleotides. RefSeq lists it as uncharacterized. NCBI's taxonomy places the organism in Eukaryota, Metazoa, Chordata, Lepidosauria, Squamata, Lacertidae. The record is from RefSeq and is a predicted model, not a curated record. The transcript has 2 exons.
AUGAUGAUGAUGAUGAUACCUCCAGUCGAUUAUAGGGUUGUGUUUUAGUCUUUGCCCCUGGCAUGCUGGUUUUUCUUUAACGCACAGCGAUUAUAUUUAUUUAUUUUUUGUAAUGUUACAGCCCAACGCGGGCAGGUGCAGCAGGUUUAACAUCUCAGUGAGAACCAGGCCUCCCCGCCGUCACCGGCUGAUGGAAUCGAGCCGCUCAAAUUGUUUUUAUAAAGAGAUUCUGUAUGAAGAAGAGCUGCUGAUAUUCUUGACGAUAGAGGCUACAGCUUCUGGAGAGAGAAAAAACCUGCAGUUUCCAAAACUGUAAUGGAGAUCAGAGCCCUGUAUUUCAAUACCAUAGAGUACCUGAGUAUGCACUUUGCUACCAAAUAUUUUAAGGGCAGGUUCAAUCAGCUGCCCUCCCUCAUCAAUGCCCCUAUGGUUUUAUGCGCUUUGACUUUCACUGCCUCCAUACUGCCAAGUGUCCAAUGGGGUUUCAUUAACGAGUAUACCCACGUA